GCGGGCCGCGCAGCCGGGGCCUGGACGGCGGGCCCUGGGCGCCCAGUCCUGGGUCCGGUCCGAAACGUCUAUCUCCCCGCGAAGGCCCGAGGGCGGGCGCGAGAUCGCGGGGAGUCGGGGAGGGGGCGGGAUCAGGUUGGGCCGGAGACCAGUUAAACCCGGCCUGUGUCUCCCUCGUGCUCGCCGGCCCCACGCGCGGCCCGCCUGCUCGGCAGGUGAGGGGGCGCCGAGGCGGGCCCCGCGGGGCUUGGUCGCGCAGCUCCUCUGCGCUGGGGCGAAGCGUCUGUUCUCACUGCCACGGGCCACAGCUUGUGAAACCAGAGGGGCCUGACAACGCCUUUGGCGGCUGGCCAGGAGCGGGACUCCUGCCCCUGGAGGAACGCCACUGAGUGUCCCCCUGGCUGGUCGUGGAAGAGAAGCCACUGGACCCUUUGGGGAUUAGAUACAGAAGCCUGGGAUUGAGCGGGAGUGAAUGGUGGUCAUGGCUAAACUAUCUGGGUUCUGAACUGCUUUUCUUCAGUAAAAUGCUCGUUUUUGGUCACCUAA
Molecule: long non-coding RNA, 546 nt
Organism: Balaenoptera ricei (Rice's whale)
Lineage: Eukaryota; Metazoa; Chordata; Mammalia; Artiodactyla; Balaenopteridae
Exons: 2
Source: RefSeq, a predicted model, not a curated record